Molecule: long non-coding RNA, 2002 nt
Organism: Diachasmimorpha longicaudata
Lineage: Eukaryota; Metazoa; Arthropoda; Insecta; Hymenoptera; Braconidae
Exons: 2
Source: RefSeq, a predicted model, not a curated record
GGGACACCACGUGAAUAGAAUUGUGUUACAGUGACGUAUUUUCUCCCCCGCGAACCUGAAGAAGUUUCUUGACUGCAAAGGACUUCCCAGGAAUGCCAACGACAUUCCCAGAAAUAGCAGGAGUUUCCACGUUCUAAAUUUGAAGAUUAAAAAGCAGAAAUGAAGACAAAAUUAUCCCCAUCGCAUUUUCAUUUUAAUUGAGAUUCGAUCGCAGGAAAAUAUAAAGUUCUUAAAAUUUUCCAAAUUAGUAUUUUUGGGCAGCAGUGAUGGAGCUCCUGGGAAGUAAUGAAACAAAGAGAUGAUUAAAUGAUACACUGAGAUAAAAAAAUAUUGUUUUAGACAGUCGCACAGAAAUAUUUUUCAGGUAGAAAAGGAUUAUUUUUCAUUUUGAUGGUACGGUAUUUUAAUGCAAUAAAUUUAUCCAAAUGGCGAACAAUAAAUCGAAGCAAUGAAUUUGCAUUGAUUCAGGGAAUUAUUGUUUUGGUGCUUUUGGAAGAAAUAUUUCUCUGAUUUUCAAUCGUUAUUUCUCUCAAGUUCAUUUCAUUGUUUUGAUAUUCCCAGAAAACUUUAUAAAUGUUAUAAAAAAUAUAGACAUCCGGUCUGAGAGACCGAAGUGAUCUAUUAUCUUUUUAAUAAUUUUUCGUCAGUUCUCCCGAGAUAAAUAAUAAUAAAUGCUGUAAAUGGUAAUCCAAAUAAUUAAGUAUUAAUUAAUUUACUGGAAAAACAACACUUAUUUUCCUUCACUAGUAAUGUCUUACAACUACAUAGAAUACUGAUGAUUUGAUCAAAAAUAAAUGCAUUACAAUAAUGAUUAUACGAUAUAUGCGACUCUUUAAAUAUUUAUAAGUAGUCAACUUUCCCUGAUAAUUAAUCAAUCUUGAUGAAAAAAAUUAAAAAAUUAGUUUACGGAUCCAAUAAUACGUUUUCUCGACGUUUUGAUGGAACUUUGCAAUUUGUACAGACAAUUCUGUACGUUCCAUAAACUAAAACUAAAAACAAAUAAAUGGCACGUGGAGUACGUCAAAUAAUCAUCAAACAAAUCCGUCUUUGACACUACAUUUUAGUUCUAUGGUAAUAAAAAAAGUGGGCACUAGUAUUUAUUCAUAAUAAAUUAUGUUGUUUGUUGAUAAUUGAAAGACGAAAUCUAGUUUUUUUCAUAUUCAUCGAUUUUAGUUGAAAUCGAUAUAAUUUUUGUUUCGUCUAAUAGAAAUAUAUGCGGACAACAACAACAACAACAAUAGUAUUUUAUUGAUAUUUUGAUGUUCGUUGUUAAUUUGUUUCAGAACAAUAUUUCUAGCGCGUCUCUUAUUGAUGAAAAAAUACUAUUCUUGAACAGUAAUCGAGAGAGCAAUUGACCAAAAACUUACACAUAAAUCAAUUUAAAUGUACAUGUUCUCGGAAUAGAUGACAUGAUUCAAGGAAAAGACCAUUUGAUUAGGACAAGUCGAACACUUUCAUUUAAAAUUCGUUUAUCUUCGUGAAAAUAAUUAUAAAAGUCUUGAGACGUAAUCGAGGACAAAACUUAUACAAAAAAGAAUUUCACCUAGUUAUUCCCAGAAAAAAACAUAAAUUAAUGAAGAUGCGCUUUCAUUAGCACAAAUUUGAUGCUGUCAGCUGGGUUUUUGCGAAAAAAAUAUUGAAUUUUUGACAAACAAUUGAAUAAUCACUCGAAGUAAACUCCCACAAGACCGAACGUAGUUGUAAUUAUCCACAGAAAAAGUUAAGUAAUUUAAGAAAAUUGCGAUUCGAUUAGUACAAAUCGAACGUUUAAUGUUUGAUAAAAAAAUCAGUUGUCUGUGCUGUCCUCAUCGCUCGCUGUUGAUUGACGUUUACUUGAACGUAGCAGCACAACGUCCAAUCUUCCUCGGCUGUAUGGGAUUCCCAUCUGUCUUCUCCUGGGGAUCCUCAGAUUUGUCGGUCUCCAAAGCCCCGAAGUAAUUCUGAAUGUGCAAUUUUGACAUUGCAGCAUCCAAGCUGGACAUCGUGGACGUCGAGGAGUCCA